Molecule: long non-coding RNA, 3456 nt
Organism: Mirounga angustirostris (Northern elephant seal)
Lineage: Eukaryota; Metazoa; Chordata; Mammalia; Carnivora; Phocidae
Exons: 3
Source: RefSeq, a predicted model, not a curated record
GUAGCUGCCGGCGAGCUCGCCAGUUGCCUCCGCCGCCGCCUUGGAAUCUGGGGCCCCGACGGCCGGCGAGACCCCGCCUCCGCCCGACCCCGGGGAGGCCGCGCGGCUGCUGCGCCUGCCCCAGCCGCCGCACCUGGGAGCGGUGAUCACCAGGAGAGGUGGGGCGUGGCAAGAGGCUGGCCGGGCGCCGGAGCAGCUUCGCCAAAAGCCAGCCGGACCGGCGCAAGGCGGAGGGGGAGGGUCUCGGGGCAGAGGCCGGCUCCUCCGAGGGAGAGACCCCAGCUGGGGUGGAAAAGGGCACAAAGCAGCUGCACAGACGCUGGGCGCGGAUCAUGGAGCGGGCCAGCCCCGGCUCCGGGGAGUCGAAGCUGCAGCGGGACCAGGAUUCCGUGGAAGCGUGGCUGGAUGAUCACUGGGACUUUACCUUCUCUUACUUUGUUAGGAAAGCCACCAGGCCGGUCUAGUAGACCACAACUACACACGCCCAGCCGGGACCCUGCGGAGCUUGACCACCCAGAACUGGGCGACCACGCCUACCCCCUGCGCCUGCGGACAGGCCAGCUCCGAAAAGCGCCCAGAGGACCUGCAGGCCCCGCCCCACGGGGCGGGGCCUAGAGGCUCAUCGCGCCUGCGCGGAGGCCCGAGGGCGUGCUGCGCCGUUACUUUUGAAACGAGUGGCGGGGAACUGCUGUGGGCGUCUCUGCUGUCGCUCUCUGCCGGGGGGAAGCGCACUCCUUCGUCUGUAGGACUGGCCAUGGCGCUGCAGCUCUCCCGGGAGCAAGGCAUCACCCUGCGCGGGAGCGCCGAAAUCGUGGCCGAGUUCUUCUCCUCCUGCCCGGCGGGAGAAUCUAGGAAGAAGCGGAUGCAGACGCCGCCUCCGGGCUCCUUGCUAAUGGUGGAGCUUGAGGCCUAGGUGCUGCUGAGGCCUGCGGCGCGAUGUAGCCCCUCCACCUGCAGCGUUGCUUUCAACUACAGAGCCAGGCACUUUCCGCCCGCCCCCAGCCUCCGCGACUUCAGACGGAGUAGGACCGGGGUGGGGGCCACGUAUAUUUUUAACAACCCCUCGGCCCCUCUUUGAUUCUGGUAUUGGCGGUGAUGGACUAGAGUUAGGAAACGCCAUUCCGGACCAGGACAGUUGUGCCUUCUGAUAGGAUCUGGCAGGACUUGUGAGGAGAAAAGGAGGAAAAAGAGGGAAAGGUUUGCUGAGAGCAUUGCAGAGAACAGUUAAUCAGUUGCUAACUGAGAUGCAAAAGCCUAUUUUGACAGCCUCUAACCACAUAAUCUGAAUUGGGACUUGGAUUACAGUGAGUUGUAGUACUACUUUGACAGUAGAUUAAUGCAGUUUGGCGUUUUUCUCUUUUUUUGCCACAGAAAUGCAGGUAUCGUGUUCUCUCUUAAUUAGAAGCAAGGUUUUAAGAAUGUUUAAUGCCACUUUUUAGGAAUACUUUUAUUACAGCCCAUCAGGGGCUGUAACUUUAACCUACGAAUUGGUGUGGGAGGGAGACACAAUUCAAUCUAUGGCAAGCAGCAAUAGUUCAGCUCUCCCCACCGCGGCGUGCACUCACGCACACGCGCACGCACGCACGCAUUCUCGCGCACGCCCGCACGCAUUCUCGCGCACGCACGCAUUCUCGCGCACGCACGCACGCAUUCUCGCGCAGGCACGCACUCACAAGGCGCGGCCCCGGGAAAGGGGACUAGAGUUUAUGUGUCCUACCGUCAGCAGCUGGGAAGCUGUGUAGGCCCCUCUCUUCCUUCUCCAGGCCUUACAGGGGUCCUAGCCUGCUGCAAGGGGUAAGUUAAAGGGGUUUAUGGAAGAUCUUGCGGCACACUGGGCAACACUCCAUCUGGUCAGCCAUCAAAAGAGUUCUAAAGAUCAUUGAGUAAAAAAUAUAUUCACUGGACAUAGAUUGGAAAAACAGCCAGUCUGCUUAGUCCCUGGGCCCAAGACAUGGACAGUAUUUGGAGGCAAGAGUACAACAUAAGGAAAUCAUCAGAAGCACAGGCAAAGAAUUAUGUACCAGGAUGUUCAUAGAAGCAUUAUUUAAAGUUGCAGAACAACCAAAAAAAAAAACCUGGACUCAAACCAAAUAGCCCAAAAUAUGGGAUAGUUAAAUAAGAUGGGCUAUUAAACAGACAUUAAAUAUUAUGUUUUCAAAAUAUAUUUAAUUAAAUGGAAAAAUACCAGAUACUGUAAAGUUAAAAAACAUGCACAGCCGUAUAUAUAGUAUGUUUUAAAUCAGUGUCAAAAGUGCUACGUUCAAAAUGAGCCGAGACUUGUGAAAAAUACUUAGGACAAUAUAAAAUACUCUUCCAUCAUAUUUUAGGCAAUGAGAAAAGACAAGGCAGGAAAAGAACCGUACUGCUUGGGGAAGAGAGCAAUUUGCUAACAAACAUUAGAAUUUCUUUUUCUCCAGCCAGGAAAAUGAUCUUCAAAUUCUACAAAUAGAAUAUGCAAAGAAAACGUAAAUUUCAACACCAAAUGGUGAAGAAAGCUAGUAGUCCAUAGUUUAGAUAAAGAUAAAAAUCCUGUGUUUGUGUACCAUCACAUCUAUGACACUGGGCACAUUGGCACAUAAUACCAUCUCAGUUAAACUUGUGACAAACAACUAAGUAUAAGAAUGAAUACAAUGAAUACGCACUGAGAAGUAUUCAAAAUGGUGGUUAUCAGUAGCUUAGAAGUGGGAGAUAUGCAAAGAUAAUUGAUUAAAGGGUAUAAGCUUCCAGUUACAGGAUUAGCAAGUUCAGGGGCACCUGAGUGGCUCAGUGGGUUAAGCAUUUGCCUUUGGCUCAGGUCAUGAUCCCGGGGUCCCGGCAUUGGGCUCCCUGCUCAGUGGGGAGCCUGCCAGGGAGCCUGCUUCUCCCUCCCUCCUCGCUCUUGCUCUCUCUCGCUAUCUCUGUCUCUCUCAAAUAAAAAAAUAAAAUUUUGAAAAAAACUAAGAUUAACAAGUUCUGGGGCUCUAAUGUAUAACAUGGUGAUUACAGCUAAUAAUACUUUGUAUUAUAUAUGUUUAUUUAUAUUUAUAUUAUUAUAGCUAAUAAUACACUUUAAAGUUGGUAAAAGAGUAACUCUUAAAUGUUCUCACUACAAAAAAGAAAUGGUAAUUAUGUGACAGGACAGAGGAGUUAGCCAUAGGAUUAUGACUUAGUCAUAAUCAUUUUGUAAUACACAAGUUUAUUAAAUCAACACCCUGUAUACCUUAAACUUACACAAUGUUAUAUGUCAAUUCCCUCUCAAUAAAGUGGGGUAAAAUUUUUUAAAUAUAUAUUUUUUAAAGUAUCAAGGACUUCAAAAAAAUUCAGUGAUAUAUCGAGUUGCUCAAAAAAUGUCCAGGUAUGUCCUCAGUAUUUGUAGAUAAAUUUCAAAACAUCAACGAAUCUCUUGAACGGUUUCAGAAGAGUGUGUAGAGAUUUUCCAAUAAUUUAUCCUGGAAAUGAAAAUUGAUGUAUUCGAUA